UACGUAGGGUGCAAGCGUUAAUCGGAAUUACUGGGCGUAAAGCGUGCGCAGGCGGCUAUGCAAGACAGAUGUGAAAUCCCCGGGCUCAACCUGGGAAUGGCAUUUGAGACUGCAUAGCUAGGGUGCGGAAGAGGGAAGCGGAAUUUCCGGUGUAGCGGUGAAAUGCGUAGAUAUCGGAAGGAACAUCAGUGGCGAAAGCGGCUUCCUGGUCCAGCACCGACGUUCAGGCACGAAAGCGUGGGGAGCAAACAGG
This 253-nucleotide ribosomal RNA is filed under the name uncultured bacterium. RNAcentral describes it as "partial 16S ribosomal RNA". It matches the Rfam family "Bacterial small subunit ribosomal RNA", at positions 524 to 776 of the family's 1533-position model. The record is from RNAcentral.